This 497-nucleotide ribosomal RNA is filed under the name uncultured bacterium. Its description in RNAcentral is "partial 16S ribosomal RNA". It matches the Rfam family "Bacterial small subunit ribosomal RNA", at positions 28 to 507 of the family's 1533-position model. The record is from RNAcentral.
GAUGAACGCUGGCGGCGUGCCUAAUACAUGCAAGUCGAACGAAAAGACGAGAACUUGCCCCCUUACUCGUUAGGGGCGGAGGGGUGAGAAACACGGGGAAACCCCCCUUAACACUCGGGGAAACCUUGGGGAAUCGGGCGCAAAUACGGGAUAACAUUUCUACCUGUAUGGUUUAGUGGAAAAGGACUCUUUUUCUGUUAAUUACGGAGGCUUCCGCCCCGCUUUAGCUGUUUGGUAAGGUCACGGCUACCCAAGGCACCGGUGCGGAGCCGACGUGAGGGGGGGGUCGGCCACCCGGGAGCUGGGACACGGUCCAGACGCCUGCGGGAGGCAGCAGUAGGGAAUCUUCCGCAAUGGGCGAAAGCCUGACGGAGCAACGCGGCGUGAGUGAUGAAGGUCUUGGGAUCGUAAAGCUCUGUUAUUGGGUAUGAACAAAUGUGUAAGGAACUAUGCACGUCUUGACGGUACCUAAACAGAAAGCCACGGCUAACUAUGUG